AGAUUGUUUCACCUGUUUUUGUGACCUCUGUUUCUCUGUUCGUCAUGGCCUCACCCACCUAUGAGUCUAUGUUGCUUGUGGUUGUUUUGAAUCCUAGAUUGCCUUGUUUAUCAUUGUAAACGAUUGUAUGAGUCUCUCUAAUCGACUUUGAUCUGUAGAGCUUUAUUUCUCUUUUGAUUCUUAAAUUUUCCAGUGAUGGCGUAAGGAGCUACGGCAGUAAUAGUGNGUAUAUUGAAGAUAUUUUACUUUUUAUUUGUUCUUUCUUUAACCAGGGUGAGAGAUGGGAA
This 287-nucleotide unclassified non-coding RNA is filed under the name Hevea brasiliensis (rubber tree). Lineage: Eukaryota; Viridiplantae; Streptophyta; Magnoliopsida; Malpighiales; Euphorbiaceae. The record is from RNAcentral.